AACGAACGCUGGCGGCAUGCCUAACACAUGCAAGUCGAACGUCCUCUCUCGCAAGAGAGAGGGAGUGGCGGACGGGUGAGUAACACAUGGGUCACCUACCCUUAAGUGAGGAAUACCGGCGAGAAAUCGCCGACAAGACCGCAUAGGCUCUCUCUUUUGCAAGAGAGAGCAAAGCUUCGCAAGAGGCGCUUGAGGAUGGGCCUGUGGCCGAUUAGCUGGNGGUAGGGUAAUGGCUUACCAAGGCGACGAUCGGUAGCUGGUCUGAGAGGACGAUCAGCCACACUGGGAUUGAGAACGG
Molecule: ribosomal RNA, 298 nt
Filed under: uncultured bacterium
Lineage: Bacteria
Description: partial 16S ribosomal RNA
Rfam family: Bacterial small subunit ribosomal RNA
Source: RNAcentral